GGACUCGGUAGCUGCAGCUCCCGGAGCACAGCGGACAGAGCUGCGGGCUGCGUGCGCCCCUGCUGCCACCGGGCCUGCCGCGGUGGCUCCCGCGCCCCGCGGCGACUUCCGAACCCGCGCUUCUCUUUGUUCAAGUCCCCGAGCGGCGGCGGGGUCGGAGCCCGCGCCCUGGGCGACUGAGGCGGCCGCAGUCCGCGCCCCGGCGCCCUGGCGAUGCCGGACCAGAUCUGUGUCGGAAUUCGUGGCCGAGACCCUUGAGGACUACAAGGCACCCACUGCCUCUAGCUUCACCAUGGGCACGGCCCAGUGCCGGAACACCGCGGCGGCCACCGAGGAGGAUGCAGUGACUUAUGAUGAUGUGCAUGUGAACUUCACUGGGGAAGAGUGGAAUUUGCUGGAUCCUUCCCAGAAGAGUCUCUACAAAGAUGUGAUGCUGGAGACCUACUGGAACCUCACGGUUAUAGGCUACACUUGGGAAACCCAUCAUAUUGAAGGACAUUGUCAAAGUUCGAGAAGAAAUGAAAGGUGUUGCAGGAGCUUUGGAUUGCUGACAGCUGUCUCCCACUUGAAAGAGUGAGCCAGAAUUGAUGGACUUGCCCUGUGUCUGAUAUUAAUCAGCAUCCUGGCCUUCUGGUGCACCUGCCGCAUGCAGAGUCAUCAGUGCAGAGCCCAAGCCUUGAUGAUACAGGCUUUUGCGGCAGCGAAAACAGGACAAUCUCCUCAUGUGUGGCUUGGCAUGCUAGAGAAAUAGUCAAUGACGGGUAAGACUCCCUGGGCAUGUCACCAACCUAAGACAGGGAUCAAACCAAUGCUUUUUGUCUCCCGAUGAUGGGUAAGGGGCAUUGCCACAGGGGGCAACCUAAGACAGACAUGCUCUCUGCAAAUAAGUAAAGAAGGGGGAGAUGUGGGGAGUGGGUGUGGCAGCAGUCCCAAGAUGGCACCCCGGACUGCAGCCAAGUCUUAUGACUUGCACCUGACUUCCUCAUACACCUGAAAAUAAUCCACGACCAUCGUGAGAACUGCGCAGGUGCACAAUCAUGCAAGAUCAGACCAUAUGAUGAGUGAUGAUUCUGGCCAAUGGACUGCUGUUACGUGGACUGGGCUGAUGGGGCGUGGUUGAGAGGUUAUAUAAGGGAUUGCGAUUGGGGGCAAGGACACAAGAGACUAUUCCUGGAGAGAGAUUCAUGCAUGCAUGUUGAAAGGUUCCGGAAUAAACUGCUUUGAGAAAAA
RNAcentral lists this long non-coding RNA (1230 nucleotides) under Mus musculus (house mouse). RNAcentral's name for it is "predicted gene, 30124". Lineage: Eukaryota; Metazoa; Chordata; Mammalia; Rodentia; Muridae. The record is from RNAcentral.